AUUAUUAUUUUGCCGGCGCUUUAGUUUCCUCCGCUACUGUACUCACAAGGAGUAACCGAACAAAACGGUACUCUAAAAAGCAAACGACAAGAACAAAAGGGAAAAUGCGCGCGGUCUUUUGUUUCUUUUGCAUUUCUCGCCACUUGCAUUUUGAUUUUCAAUUGAAAUAGCUGGUGCCUCUGUGAUUUGUGAUUUGCGGUUUUAAUUUUCAAAAAAACUAUUUCAAAACAAAAGGGUGGACUUACAUCUACAUACAAGUUGUGUUUUUUAGGGUGGACCUAAGAACACAAAUGAAGUGAACAAAAAUGUACUAGAGACAGGGAAGGUUUUGCGUCCUACAUUCAUUUAAAUGAAACAUUAUUCGAGUCACAAAGGAGGGACGGCCACCGCUUCACCGACCACAUAAAAGACCUUUGACUGGCCUUCACUAGGGCUAAGAACAAAACUUACAAGGCUAAAAGUAUAACAGAAAGGAUGAGAGAAGAAAAAAACGAC
Molecule: long non-coding RNA, 495 nt
Organism: Drosophila gunungcola (fruit fly)
Lineage: Eukaryota; Metazoa; Arthropoda; Insecta; Diptera; Drosophilidae
Exons: 5
Source: RefSeq, a predicted model, not a curated record